Molecule: transfer RNA, 44 nt
Filed under: Drosophila gibberosa
Lineage: Eukaryota; Metazoa; Arthropoda; Insecta; Diptera; Drosophilidae
Description: tRNA-Tyr
Source: RNAcentral
ACUGAUUAAGAAGAAAUUUUCUUAUAAAUAGAUUUACAAUCUAC